AUUGAAAUGGCUUAGUUGGAAAGAACUUAAGUAAUAAGUAAGAGGUGAAGAGUUCAAAUCUCAUUUUAAACG
Molecule: transfer RNA, 72 nt
Filed under: Ipomoea nil (Japanese morning glory)
Lineage: Eukaryota; Viridiplantae; Streptophyta; Magnoliopsida; Solanales; Convolvulaceae
Rfam family: tRNA
About the family: Transfer RNA (tRNA) molecules are approximately 80 nucleotides in length. Their secondary structure includes four short double-helical elements and three loops (D, anti-codon, and T loops). Further hydrogen bonds mediate the characteristic L-shaped molecular structure. tRNAs have two regions of fundamental functional importance: the anti-codon, which is responsible for specific mRNA codon recognition, and the 3' end, to which the tRNAs corresponding amino acid is attached (by aminoacyl-tRNA synthetases). tRNAs cope with the degeneracy of the genetic code in two manners: having more than one tRNA (with a specific anti-codon) for a particular amino acid; and 'wobble' base-pairing, i.e. permitting non-standard base-pairing at the 3rd anti-codon position.
Source: Rfam by way of RNAcentral